UACGGGGGGGGCAAGCGUUGUUCGGAAUUACUGGGCGUAAAGGGCUCGUAGGUGGCCAACUAAGUCAGACGUGAAAUCCCUCAGCUUAACUGGGGAACUGCGUCUGAUACUGGAUGGCUUGAGUUUGGGAGAGGGAUGCGGAAUUCCAGGUGUAGCGGUGAAAUGCGCAGAUAUCGGGAGGAACACCUGUGGCGAAAGCGGCUCACUGGACCACAACUGACGCUGAGGCGCGAAAGCUAGGGGAGCAAACAGG
RNAcentral lists this ribosomal RNA (253 nucleotides) under uncultured bacterium. Its description in RNAcentral is "partial 16S ribosomal RNA". It matches the Rfam family "Bacterial small subunit ribosomal RNA", at positions 524 to 776 of the family's 1533-position model. The record is from RNAcentral.